RNAcentral lists this transfer RNA (69 nucleotides) under Podarcis lilfordi (Lilford's wall lizard). RNAcentral's name for it is "tRNA.Ile". The record is from RNAcentral. Lineage: Eukaryota; Metazoa; Chordata; Lepidosauria; Squamata; Lacertidae.
ACCAGCUCAGUUGGUUAAAGUGUGGUGCUGAUAACUCCAAGAUUGCAGGUUUGAUCCUUGUAUGGGGCA